GCAGAGCACUCCGUACGGGAGGCAGCAGUGGGGAAUAUUGCACAAUGGGCGCAAGCCUGAUGCAGCCAUGCCGCGUGUAUGAAGAAGGCCUUCGGGUUGUAAAGUACUUUCAGCAGUGAGGAAGGUGGGUAUGUUAAUAGCAUACUCAUUUGACGUUAGCUGCAGAAGAAGCACCGGCUAACUCCGUGCCAGCAGCCGCGGUAAUACGGAGGGUGCGAGCGUUAAUCGGAAUUACGUGGGCGUAAAGCGCAUGCAGGUGGUUUGUUAAGUCAGAUGUAGAAAGGCCCGGGGCCGUCACGCCGUACGGAAUUGCUAUUUAGAAACUGGACAAACUAGAGUACUGUAGAGGGGGUAGAAUUUCAGGUGUAGCGGUGAAAAUGCGUAGAGAUCUGAAGGAAUACCGGUGGCGAAGGCGGCCCCCUGGACAGAUACUGACACUCAGAUGCGAAAGCGUGGGGAGCAAACAGGAUUAGAUACCCUGGUAG
This 485-nucleotide ribosomal RNA is filed under the name uncultured bacterium. RNAcentral describes it as "bacterial SSU rRNA". It matches the Rfam family "Bacterial small subunit ribosomal RNA", at positions 328 to 793 of the family's 1533-position model. The record is from RNAcentral.